UAAAAAGGAACAUAUAUAUUAUAUUUUUAUAUUUUUUUAUAUCUUUUUCUUUUUCUUCUCCUCCACUCCCCUCGAACCAUUGGAUAUGGGUCCUCGGAUCCCCCAACUUUGAACAGAACAAAACACGAGCACCGCCGGUCCGCGAAUUCACUUUUUUCCUCAUCUGUUUGAGUGGAUUCUUCCUUUGGGAGGUGUCGAGUGAGGAAAAGGAAAAAAAAAGC
This 221-nucleotide non-coding RNA is filed under the name Palpitomonas bilix. The record is from RNAcentral.